GAUGAACGCUGGCGGCGUGCCUAAUACAUGCAAGUCGAGCGAACAGAUGAGGAGCUUGCUCCUCUGACGUUAGCGGCGGACGGGUGAGUAACACGUGGAUAACCUACCUAUAAGACUGGGAUAACUUCGGGAAACCGGAGCUAAUACCGGAUAAUAUAUUGAACCGCAUGGUUCAAUAGUGAAAGACGGUUUUGCUGUCACUUAUAGAUGGAUCCGCGCCGCAUUAGCUAGUUGGUAAGGUAACGGCUUACCAAGGCAACGAUGCGUAGCCGACCUGAGAGAGUGAUCGGCCACACUGGAACUGAGACACGGUCCAGACUCCUACGGGAGGCAGCAGUAGGGAAUCUUCCGCAAUGGGCGAAAGCUUGACGGAGCAACGCCGCGUGAGUGAUGAAGGUCUUCGGAUCGUAAAACUCUGUUAUUAGGGAAGAACAAAUGUGUAAGUAACUAUGCACGUCUUGACGGUACCUAAUCAGAAAGCCACGGCUAACUACGU
This 496-nucleotide ribosomal RNA is filed under the name uncultured bacterium. RNAcentral describes it as "partial 16S ribosomal RNA". It matches the Rfam family "Bacterial small subunit ribosomal RNA", at positions 28 to 506 of the family's 1533-position model. The record is from RNAcentral.